This 466-nucleotide ribosomal RNA is filed under the name uncultured bacterium. RNAcentral describes it as "partial 16S ribosomal RNA". It matches the Rfam family "Bacterial small subunit ribosomal RNA", at positions 28 to 507 of the family's 1533-position model. The record is from RNAcentral.
GACGAACGCUGGCGGCGCGCCUAACACAUGCAAGUCGAACGAGCGAGAGAGAGCUUGCUUUCUUGAGCGAGUGGCGAACGGGUGAGUAACGCGUGAGGAACCUGCCUCAAAGAGGGGGACAACAGUUGGAAACGACUGCUAAUACCGCAUAAGCCCACGACCCGGCAUCGGGUUGAGGAAAAAGGAGCAAUCCGCUUUGAGAUGGCCUCGCGUCCGAUUAGCUAGUUGGUGAGGUAACGGCCCACCAAGGCGACGAUCGGUAGCCGGACUGAGAGGUUGAACGGCCACAUUGGGACUGAGACACGGCCCAGACUCCUACGGGAGGCAGCAGUGGGGAAUAUUGCACAAUGGGGGAAACCCUGAUGCAGCGACGCCGCGUGGAGGAAGAAGGUCUUCGGAUUGUAAACUCCUGUUGUUGAGGAAGAUAAUGACGGUACUCAACAAGGAAGUGACGGCUAACUACGUG